This is a long non-coding RNA of Cuculus canorus (common cuckoo), 325 nucleotides long. RefSeq lists it as uncharacterized. NCBI's taxonomy places the organism in Eukaryota, Metazoa, Chordata, Aves, Cuculiformes, Cuculidae. The record is from RefSeq and is a predicted model, not a curated record. The transcript has 3 exons.
CGUUGGGAUACUUCAUUGCAGCAAGAACACAGGAAUACCAGAAUGAAAAGUAUGACCUGGAAACUGGCGAGUCAUUGGAGGAAAUCGGCGGGCUGUUCUUACAAAGCUGAUAAUCUUUGGAGCGUUCCAAGGCAGACAACCCUGGUCGACGCUUGCUAUGUCAAAGGCAGUCCGUGCUGUGGGCAGAGCGGAGCAAGACCAACGCAGAGUGCUGCUGGCAGCCCCCUCCAGAAAUAACAGAGGGAAAAAGGUGAGAGAACAACCAGAACAUCUAAAGGGAACCUUUCCAGACACAGGAGCAGAGGCAUGCCAGAAAGAGAAGAGA